This 980-nucleotide ribosomal RNA is filed under the name Colwellia sp. 42-2. RNAcentral's name for it is "bacterial SSU rRNA". It matches the Rfam family "Bacterial small subunit ribosomal RNA", at positions 381 to 1340 of the family's 1533-position model. Lineage: Bacteria; Pseudomonadati; Pseudomonadota; Gammaproteobacteria; Alteromonadales; Colwelliaceae. The record is from RNAcentral.
GCCUGAUGCAGCCUGCCGCGUGUGUGAAGAAGGCCUUCGGGUUGUAAAGCACUUUCAGUUGUGAGGAAAGGAGUGUCGUUAAUAGCGGCAUUCUGUGACGUUAACAACAGAAGAAGCACCGGCUAACUUCGUGCCAGCAGCCGCGGUAAUACGAGGGGUGCAAGCGUUAAUCGGAAUUACUGGGCGUAAAGCGUUCGUAGGCGGUCUAUUAAGCAAGAUGUGAAAGCCCAGGGCUCAACCUUGGAACUGCAUUUUGAACUGGUAGACUAGAGUACUGUAGAGGGUGGUGGAAUUUCCAGUGUAGCGGUGAAAUGCGUAGAGAUUGGAAGGAACAUCAGUGGCGAAGGCGGCCACCUGGACAGAUACUGACGCUGAGGAACGAAAGCGUGGGGAGCGAACAGGAUUAGAUACCCUGGUAGUCCACGCCGUAAACGAUGUCAACUAGCCGUUUGUGGACUUGAUCCGUGAGUGGCGCAGCUAACGCACUAAGUUGACCGCCUGGGGAGUACGGCCGCAAGGUUAAAACUCAAAUGAAUUGACGGGGGCCCGCACAAGCGGUGGAGCAUGUGGUUUAAUUCGAUGCAACGCGAAGAACCUUACCAUCCCUUGACAUCCACAGAAGAGACUAGAGAUGGACUUGUGCCUUCGGGAACUGUGUGACAGGUGCUGCAUGGCUGUCGUUAGCUUGUGUUGUGAAAUGUUGGGUUAAGUCCCGCAACGAGCGCAACCCCUAUCCUUAUUUGCCAGCCGCGUUAUGGCGGGAACUUUAAGGAGAAUGCCGGUGAUAAACCGGAGGAAGGUGGGGACGACGUCAAGUCAUCAUGGCCCUUACGGGAUGGGCUACACACGUGCUACAAUGGCAGGUACAGAGGGCAGCAAUACCCGCGAGGUGGGAGCGAAUCCCACAAAGCUUUGUCGUAGUUCCGGAAUCGGGAGUCUGCAACUUCGACUUCCGUGAAAGUCCGGGAAUUCGCUUAGUU